GACGAACGCUGGCGGCGUGCUUAACACAUGCAAGUCGAACGAUGAAGCCCUUUCGGGGGUGGAUUAGUGGCGAACGGGUGAGUAACACGUGGGUAACCUGCCCUGUACCCUGGGAUAAGCCUUGGAAACGAGGUCUAAUACCGGAUAUGACCUGCUCUCGCAUGGGGGUGGGUGGAAAGUUUUGGCGGUGCAGGAUGGACCCGCGGCCUAUCAGCUUGUUGGUGGGGUGAUGGCCUACCAAGGCGACGGACGGGUAGCCGGCCUGAGAGGGCGACCGGCCACACUGGGACUGAGACACGGCCCAGACUCCUACGGGAGGCAGCAGGUGGGGAAUAUUGCACAAUGGGGCGAAAGCCUGAUGCAGCGACGCCGCGUGAGGGAUGA
Molecule: ribosomal RNA, 384 nt
Filed under: uncultured bacterium
Lineage: Bacteria
Description: bacterial SSU rRNA
Rfam family: Bacterial small subunit ribosomal RNA
Source: RNAcentral